GGUUCGGGUCGGAUCCAGUUGGG
This 23-nucleotide non-coding RNA is filed under the name Arabidopsis thaliana (thale cress). Lineage: Eukaryota; Viridiplantae; Streptophyta; Magnoliopsida; Brassicales; Brassicaceae. The record is from RNAcentral.